CACUAAGCAGUUGAGAUUUGAAGAUGUAGUAAACCAGUCAAGUCCAAAAAACUGCACUGUGUACUGUGGGGGGAUCGCUUCGGGGCUGACAGAUCAACUUAUGAGACAAACAUUUUCACCAUUUGGACAAAUUAUGGAGAUAAGAGUUUUUCCAGAGAAGGGGUAUUCGUUUGUCAGGUAACGUUCAAGCUGAGAGAGAGAUUUAGUACUCGUGCAUCCUCUUCAUUCUUUUCACUUACAUUAUUAGAUCCCUACUAAGUGUCAGUUUACCUAUAGAAUAUAUAAUUUGAGAAAAAUGCCAACUGAGAGGUGUCAGUUAUUGUGUUCCUAUGUUGUUUGCCCAAAUUCUUAAAGAUUGAAGGCAAAACCUCACUGUUUUCUCCUCCUAGAUUUUCAACUCAUGAAAGUGCAGCCCAUGCUAUUGUUUCUGUGAACGGUACUACAAUCGAAGGACAUGUGGUUAAAUGCUAUUGGGGUAAAGAAUCUCCUGAUAUGACUAAAAACUUCCAACAGGUAAUUCGAUUUUUCUUAGCACUUUUUGCGGUUUCCAUCUUACAUGUCUACAUAGGAGCUUUGGAAAUUGUAAAAUAAACAGUAAAAUAAAGCGUAUAGCUGCUUUCAGUUGAUUGUGUAAAAUGCUAUUUCAAAAUUGUUUUGCGGUAUUAACUGAAUCUUAAUACUUUCUUUUCACAGGUGUCACCACCCCAAUAAACUUAGACAAUGAUAAAUAACAGAGUCCUAUUCACAUAAGGGUGCUUACUUAGUUUUUCUCUUCCUUGUCUCCCACUCUUUCUUCAAAUACGGUGUUUUGUUCUUGUUCCCUAAAACAGUCAUUUGCUUCUUUCCUAGGUUGACUACAGUCAGUGGGGCCAAUG
RNAcentral lists this long non-coding RNA (875 nucleotides) under Rattus norvegicus (Norway rat). RNAcentral's name for it is "long non-coding RNA NONRATT003246". Lineage: Eukaryota; Metazoa; Chordata; Mammalia; Rodentia; Muridae. The record is from RNAcentral.